UCCUACGGGGGGCAGCAGUGGGGGAUAUUGCACGAUGGGGGGAACCCUGAUGCAGCGACGCCGCGUGGGUGAAGAAGCGCCUCGGCGCGUAAAGCCCUGUCAGCAGGGAAGAAAAUGACGGUACCUGAAGAAGAAGCCCCGGCUAACUACGUGCCAGCAGCCGCGGUAAUACGUAGGGGGCAAGCGUUAUCCGGAUUUACUGGGGGUAAAGGGGGCGCAGACGGCGAUGCAAGCCAGGAGUGAAAGCCCGGGGCCCAACCCCGGGACUGCUCUUGGCACUGCGUGGCUGGAGUGCAGGAGGGGCG
This 305-nucleotide ribosomal RNA is filed under the name uncultured bacterium. RNAcentral describes it as "partial 16S ribosomal RNA". It matches the Rfam family "Bacterial small subunit ribosomal RNA", at positions 337 to 659 of the family's 1533-position model. The record is from RNAcentral.